Molecule: small nucleolar RNA, 92 nt
Filed under: Brachypodium distachyon (stiff brome)
Lineage: Eukaryota; Viridiplantae; Streptophyta; Magnoliopsida; Poales; Poaceae
Description: snoRNA snoZ221_snoR21b
Rfam family: Small nucleolar RNA Z221/R21b
About the family: Z221 is a member of the C/D class of snoRNA which contain the C (UGAUGA) and D (CUGA) box motifs. Most of the members of the box C/D family function in directing site-specific 2'-O-methylation of substrate RNAs.
Source: Rfam by way of RNAcentral
AGGCGAUGAUGAGAAAAGUCAUGCACCACUCUGAAGAGAUCUGUCUCUUUGUGCUGAUAAGCAAACUUAUAACCCAUUUUAUAUCUGAGCCG